AAACAUAGCCUUUAGACACUAACCAUAUUAAAGGUCCCGCCUGCCCAAUGAGACCCAAACUCUUAAAUGGCCGCGGCAAAACCGUGCAAAGGUAGCAAAAUCAUUUGUCCUCCAAAUAGGGACCAGUAUGAAUGGCCACAUGAGAAAGACACUGUCUCUUUAGGCCCGCCAAUGAAACUGAUCUGUCUGUAAAAACGCAGACAUUAAAAAGCAAGACAAAAAGACCCUGUGAAACUUUAAGUGCCCGUCACAAUAAUGAUCAAGACACUUUUGGUUGGGGCAACCAAAGAGAGACACAAACCUCUUAAACAGUCACACGGCAGACAAGCCAAAUGACACCACCCUAGACCCAGUACUACUGAGCAAAGGACCAAGCUACUCCAGGGAUAACAGCGCCACAUUCUUGAAGAGUCCAUAUCAACAAGAAUACCUACGACCUCGAUGUUGGAUUAGGAUACCCCAAUGGCGCAAAAGCUAUUAAAGGUUCGUUUGUUCAACGAUUAAAAUCCCACGUGAUC
Molecule: ribosomal RNA, 518 nt
Filed under: Calotes irawadi
Lineage: Eukaryota; Metazoa; Chordata; Lepidosauria; Squamata; Agamidae
Description: partial large subunit ribosomal RNA
Rfam family: Bacterial large subunit ribosomal RNA
Source: RNAcentral